Molecule: ribosomal RNA, 101 nt
Filed under: Acanthosepion pharaonis
Lineage: Eukaryota; Metazoa; Mollusca; Cephalopoda; Sepiida; Sepiidae
Source: RNAcentral
CGUUGAAACACUGGUUCCCGUACGAUCACCGAAGUUAAGCACCGUCUAAGCCUGGUCAGUACCUAGAUGGGUGACCGCUUCGAAAUACCAGGUGCUGUAAG